Long non-coding RNA from Aegilops tauschii subsp. strangulata, 1658 nucleotides. RefSeq lists it as uncharacterized. The record is from RefSeq and is a predicted model, not a curated record. Lineage: Eukaryota; Viridiplantae; Streptophyta; Magnoliopsida; Poales; Poaceae.
GAUGGAUGCACGAGUUUAAACAGGGAAAAAAAUGAAGGGGACAUUCCUCAUUACAUUUCACAGCGGCGAGAUCCAUCCUUAUUGAUAGGGGUGCAGGUCUUUAUUUUGGAUGGAGAUGAGGUACCGGACAGGCAGUACAUUUUUGUGAAUUUUCACUUGUAAGUUUUGCAGAAAGUUAAACAAAAUGGGUGGGAGUUAAUUUAGGAUGAAAGGACGUUUGAUAGCACCUGACUAUUCGUACUGCAGCUUCAGACACACUAGCAGUGCCAAGGAUUUUAUUCGGAUUUGGGCAACGAUGUUCAGUACCUCAAAGGAGUCAAGUUAAUUCACUUCUGCUGGCAGUGCCUUGCAGAAGAAAAUCUCAGUGCUAACAGGGAGAAAGCAUCGACGUUAACAAGGUUGACCCGAACAUGGACUAUGAAAGCCUGUAAGGUUUAGUACAACUUGACUACUUUCCAGUUAGGUUCAGUUCUGCUGUGUGAUUCUCCACCUACACAUUAGAGAAGUCUUAUUUCCUUCCGUAAAAUGCUCUGUUUUUUGCCUUGUUGAAGCAACAAGAGAGUUCUCCUGCCAACCUUGAAGCCGUCAAAGCUUAUUCAAAAGCCUGCAUGAAAUAAAAUGGAGUACUACUGUGAUGCAUGUGCACGUGUACCUACCUACAGAGUACCAGAGGUAAAGCAUCUGAUCUGCCGAGCUGUGUGUGUUAACUAAAUAACCUUGCGAGUCCAGACUAUCAGCAUCCCUUCAUCAAUUGAAUAGAAAUAGCGACAUUUUUGUUGCCUAGACGGUUGCUUCAGUCUUACUGUUGUAUGACUUUGUAAGGUCUUGUGUGAAUAAUUAAUAAAGUGGUUGCAUGCAUCGUCCAGAUGCAGAGUCCAGGGUCCUCCUCCAAUUCUAAAAAAUAAUAACCUUGCGAGUUGCGACAGCAGGUUGGUCGCAGGACUGAACUGCUGCUAACCAUUGUACGCACUUGCCCGUAUAGAUACCCACCUCCUGAUAUUGGUUCAUAUAUGCAGAGCAACUGAAACCUUGACACCUCCUGAUAUCAAGUGCUGAUACAGGGAUCGAUGCAUCUCAACGAGAUUGUUAGUGGGAGAUAUCUCUGCCCUUCUCCAGAUGGUGGAAGGCAGCGGAGUAGAAGUUCCAAUCUUGUCAGUCAGGACAGCGGUAGCACAUCGAGUCGUGACAGAAAGUGAAGCCGAAGAUUAUAUAAUUAAAAACUUCUUUUGAACAUGAAUUCACUAAUAUAACUUUUGCUCCCGCCACAGUUGGUCUCGUUGGUUAAAUUUAUGGUCAAAGUUGAAGCACGGGAAUAGAGGAAGCACUAUAUUUUGAAACGGAGGAAGUACUUUAGAUGUUAAAUACUACUUGAGGUUCACAAACAAAAAAGAAAUGCACAUGGCAGAUGCCGGUCGGAGUAUUGUCGAGUGAAAGAGACAGGGAGAGAUGAUGAUCAUACGAGUACUUGACUGUAUUGCCCGGAGUUGAAAAAUGUUAAAAGCGAUGGAAAGCACCAAGUAUCUUUGGUUUACAAGUUGUAAAAGCAUCUACAACUGGGACCCAAACCCACCUCGAACGUCCGGGUCAAUGACCUGGUCACUAACCGGUUAAAAAACGCUGACCCACCUGGGUGCCUUAAAACGGCCUCAAACGUCCAG